RNAcentral lists this ribosomal RNA (368 nucleotides) under uncultured eukaryote. RNAcentral describes it as "SSU rRNA". It matches the Rfam family "Eukaryotic small subunit ribosomal RNA", at positions 587 to 972 of the family's 1831-position model. The record is from RNAcentral.
AGCUCCAAUAGCGUAUAUUAAAGUUGUUGCAGUUAAAAUGUUCGUAGUUGAAAUUCUGUUAAUGAGAGCAGGUCAUUUCAUUGAGUAUGUACUUGCUGUCAUUGGCAUUAGUCCAAGUAUGCAAUAGGCAACUGUUGAGUAUUUGGAGCUGUUACUUUGAGAAAAUUAGAGUGUUUCAAGCAAGCGUAAUGCCUGAAUACUCCAGCAUGGAAUAACGAGUAAGGACUCAAUUCCUUCUUGUUGGUUUAAGGGACUGAGUAAUGAUUAAAAGGAACGGUCGGGGGUAUUCGUUCUUAGUUGUCAGAGGUGAAAUUCUUAGAUUGGCUGAAGACGAACUACUGCGAAGGCAUCUACCAUGGAUGUUUUCA